Molecule: long non-coding RNA, 1314 nt
Organism: Leguminivora glycinivorella
Lineage: Eukaryota; Metazoa; Arthropoda; Insecta; Lepidoptera; Tortricidae
Exons: 7
Source: RefSeq, a predicted model, not a curated record
UGUCAAAGAAGGGGAAGAAGUGCUCAUGCGCCGUGCCUCUCUUCAAGGCAGAAGCUAAACAGUUGAAGAACUUGAAGAAGGGGAAACCGUGCUCUUGUGCUGUGCGCUUGUUUAAAAGAGAGGGGAAAGAGGCGAAGAAGGCAAAGAAAGGAAAGGGAGGACCGUGCUGCUGCUCGGCACCUUUGUUUGGGGGGGAAGAUUGGUAAAAAGAUUGUAAGAAACCAUGAGUGAUACGGACAACUGCUGCGUCCGUCUUCUCCGGCGCUUCGGGUGCCUGAAGAAGAUUGAGGAGCCAUGUACUUGCACCAGGGCCUUGAUCGAGGGGCUCCAGGGGAACGCCGGCCCGGUCGAAAGUAACGCUAGCAAGGGGAGUAAGAAAUAAACUGAUUUGAGAGAUUCACGAUGAAGUUCCUCUACCAACUUCUAUUCCUGCUCCUGCACAUCCUCGCCUGUUCCGCCGGCAGCGCUCUCGGCUGCCGCACCCGCCUCACCAGCCGACGCAGCCAGACUAGAAGACCACGGGUCACUUUCUCUAACACCAGUAUGAUGAACAAGGCUUCUGGUAACCAUCACAGGAAGACGACGCUAUUGAAUCCACCCGCCUACGCAGCUCUUCGCGGUCGACCGACCAGACAAUGUACACGUAUUGAUGUACCUCUCGAGUGCCCGAAUUGGAGGAAACGGUGAACCCAAAACAUCUACAUAGUAUGAAGAUCCUCUACCAACUGCUUUUCGUCAUUAUGAACAUCCUAGCAUGUUCGGUCGGUCGCUCGCUCGGCUGUUGCUCCAAAGUCCACAGCCCUGCCCCGCCGCAAAGAAGUCACCACAGAUCGCAUCAUGCUAUCCGAAAUCAGUCCAUAUUUUCAGACCCGGAGCAUCCGACCUCUCCUUGCAGCCCUGAGUUUCCGUACCAACAUCCGCUGGCGAAGGUCAAAGUCAUACAUAAUCAGUCUCGCGACGGCACCAACCGCGUGGGACCAUUAUAGCACGCUUUACCCUGCACCCCUGUGAAGACUCAACACACACUUAUGUUUUAGGACUUUCAAGCGGUUUUCUUUUUUUUAAGUUAUUUUUCUACAGUUUAUAGUCGGCGUAAUGUAAAAACUCAUAUUUUGAAACUAUAUUGAUCCUUUAUUAAAUAAAUUUUAUAAAGAUAACCCGUUCAUUGCCGAAAAUGCGAAUUCGCGUCACAAAUGUAAUGCCGAAUGCGGACUUCGGCAAUGAAUGGGUUAAAAGUAACCGUCAAAUCAUAAAAUGUCAAAUGUGUGUUUUUACAUUGUGCUGACUGUAAUAUUAUUUCAAAUACUUUUGGGA